Molecule: ribosomal RNA, 497 nt
Filed under: uncultured bacterium
Lineage: Bacteria
Description: partial 16S ribosomal RNA
Rfam family: Bacterial small subunit ribosomal RNA
Source: RNAcentral
GAUGAACGCUGGCGGCGUGCCUAAUACAUGCAAGUCGAGCGAACGGACGAGAAGCUUGCUUCUCUGAUGUUAGCGGCGGACGGGUGGGUAACACGUGGAUAACCUACCUAUAAGACUGGGGUAACUUCGGGAAACCGGAGCUACUACCGGAUGAUAUUUUGAACGGCAUGGUUCAAAAGUGAAAGACGGUCUUGCUGUCACUAAUAGAUGGAUCCGCGUUGCAUUAGCUAGUUGGUAAGGUAACGGCUUACCAAGGCAACGAUGCAUAGCCGACCUGAGAGGGUGAUCGGCCACACUGGAACUGAGACACGGUCCAGACUCCUACGGGAGGCAGCAGUAGGGAAUCUUCCGCAAUGGGCGCAAGCCUGACGGAGCAACGCCGCGUGAGUGAUGAAGGUCUUCGGAUCGUAAAACUCUGUUAUUAGGGAAGAACAUAUGUGUAAGUAACUGUGCACAUCUUGACGGUACCUAAUCAGAAAGCCCCGGCUAACUACGUG